CUUCAGCCACCAUCAUGAUUAUCUACCAGGACCUCAUCAGCUACGAUGAGAUAUUCUCUGAUAUCUACCAAAUCCAGGAGACUGCAGAUGGGCUGUGCCUGCAGUUGGAGGGGAAGAUGGUCAAUAGGACAGAAGGUAAUAUGAUAUACCAAAAGCACAGUAAUAACUGGUGUUGAUAUUGUCAUGAACCAUCACCUGCAGGAAACACGUUUCACAAAAGAAGCCUACAAGAAGUAUGUCAAAGGUUACAUGAAAUCAAUCAAAGGCAAACUUGAAGAACAGAGACCAGAAAGAGUAAAACCUUUUAUGACAGGGGCUGCAGAACAAAUCAAGCACAUCCUUGCUAAUUUUAAAAACUACCAGUUCGUUAUUGGUGAAAACAUGAAUCCAGAUGGCCUGGUUGCUCUACUGGACUACUGUGAGGAUGGUGUGACCCCAUAUAUGAUUUUCUUUAAGGAUGGUUUAGAAAUGGAAAAAUGUUAAUGAAUUUGGCAACUACUUUGGAUCUAUCACUUGCCAUCAUAACUGUCUUCUGCUUGUCAUCCACACAACACGAGGACUUAAGACAAAUGGGACUAAUGACAUCUAGAGCUUUUCAUUUAUUUUCACCAUUAUUUACUUGGAGUGGAGGCAUUGUUUUUAAGAAAAACCUGUCACGUAGGUUGUCUGAAAAUGAAAUGCAUUUAAUCUCAUUUAACAGAAUGCCUUUUAGUUUAAUACAUAUUUAAACUAAAUUCAUCCCAUAGUGUUCCUGGAGAAGCUAGAGCCUGGUUGUAAGCUACCACUAGAAAGAACAAGACUCAUCAAUUAACUUCUAUGGUGGAAACUACUUCUGCGACUGGAAUAUAAAAAAAGAAUCAAAUGAUUUGAUUGUGAGUUGCAUUAAAAGGAAAGGCCAUGCUCAUGGCAGUACCACAUCUGAAGUGGAGCCUUACUCAUUUCAUCACCUACAAUGGAAAUAGUUAACUGGAAGAGAUUACCAAGAGAAAAAAAAAAGACUAAUUCAGU
Non-coding RNA from Callithrix jacchus (white-tufted-ear marmoset), 1008 nucleotides. The record is from RefSeq and is a predicted model, not a curated record. NCBI's taxonomy places the organism in Eukaryota, Metazoa, Chordata, Mammalia, Primates, Cebidae.